This 461-nucleotide ribosomal RNA is filed under the name uncultured bacterium. RNAcentral describes it as "bacterial SSU rRNA". It matches the Rfam family "Bacterial small subunit ribosomal RNA", at positions 33 to 507 of the family's 1533-position model. The record is from RNAcentral.
ACGCUGGCGGCGUGCUUAACACGUGCAAGUCGAACGGUGAAGGGAAGCUUGCUUCCCGGAUCAGUGGCGAACGGGUGAGUAACACGUGGGCAAUCUGCCCCAGACUUUGGGAUAACUACUCGAAAGAGUAGCUAAUACCGAAUAUUCAGCCUUGCAGGCAUCUGCGAGGCUGGAAAGUUUCUCGGUCUGGGAUGAGCCCGCGGCCUAUCAGCUAGUUGGUGAGGUAAUGGCUCACCAAGGCGACGACGGGUAGCCGGCCUGAGAGGGCGACCGGCCACACUGGGACUGAGACACGGCCCAGACUCCUACGGGAGGCAGCAGUGGGGAAUAUUGCGCAAUGGGCGAAAGCCUGACGCAGCAACGCCGCGUGCGGGAUGAAGGCCUUCGGGUUGUAAACCGCUUUCAGCAGGGAAGAAGCGAAAGUGACGGUACCUGCAGAAGAAGCACCGGCUAACUACGUG